This 2552-nucleotide long non-coding RNA is filed under the name Sus scrofa (pig). Its description in RNAcentral is "lncRNA (ENSSSCG00050005344.1)". The record is from RNAcentral. Lineage: Eukaryota; Metazoa; Chordata; Mammalia; Artiodactyla; Suidae.
AAAUGUGACUCAAGAAAUCUCCAGUCAUUAGCUGAGCACUCUGCUUCAAUGAAUACACAUCAUAAGGAAUAAGGACUUUACAAAAUUAGUUCAGAAAAGUUAUUAAACAACAACAGACAGUGACCAUAAUCCCUGGGAAUGGAGAACUAAUUCCCAGGGUUGGUGAAUUACAUGAUUCAAAAUGUCCAAUUUUCAAUAACAUGCAAAGGAACAAAGUAUGGCUUAUAGCCAAAGGAAAACUCAAUCAAUAGAAACUGCUCAUGAGAAAUGACAAAUAUUAAACUUAUUGGGCAAAGACUUCAGCUAUUUUAAAUAUAUUCAAAUAUAUUUUAAGUAUAUUCUUUUAAGAACCACAUUUUUAAAACUAAAGGAAAGUGAAAACUAUGUCUUACCAAAUAGAGAAUAUCAAGAAAAAAGUGGUUAAAAAGGAAUGAAAUCAAAAUUCUGGAAAGCUGUAUUGAAUAAUUUCAGUUACUGAAAUCAAAAUGUGGAGAUUUGGGUUAAGAAAGUUAAAGAAUCAAUGAACUUGAAAACAGGUCAACAAUAUUCAGUCUGAGGAACAAGGAAUGUGGGAAUGUAAAAUGGUGCAGUCACUUUGGAAAACAAUUUGGCAGUUUCUAACAAAACUAAACAUAAUCUACCAUAAAAUCCAGCAAUUAAGCUCCUCAAUAUUUGACCAAAGGUGUCAAAAAUGUAGGUACACAUAAAAAUCUGCACACAAAUUUUAUAGAGGUCCUAUUUGUAAUUCCACAAACUUGAAGGCAAUCAAAAUGUCCUUUAGUAGAUGAAUGGAUAAAUAAACUGUAGUGUAUACAUUCAGUGCUAAAAAGAAAUGAGCUAUCAAGCCAUGAAAAGGCAUGGACGAACCUUAAAUAUAUUACUAAGGAAGGAAGCCAAUAUUAAAAGGUUACAUAUUGUAGUCUUUCAACUAUAUGACCUAGGGAAGGGAAAACUAAAAAGAUCAGUGUUUGCCAAGGGUUAGGGAGCAAGAGGGAUGAAUAGGCAGAGCACAGAGGAUUUUUAGGACAAAGUAUUCUAUAUGAUACAAUAAUGGUGAAUACAGGUCACUAUACAUGUGUCAAAAUCCAUAGAAUGUACAACACCCAGGGUGAACCCAAAUAGAAACUAAGGUCUCUGGGUGAUAAAGAGGUGUCAGUGCAGGUCCUUCAGUGGUAAAAAAUUUACUACUCUGUUGAGAGAUGUUGAUAAUGGGAAAAGCUAUAAAUGUGUGGGGACAGAGCAUAUAUGGGAAAUCUCUGUACUCACUGCUCAACUUUUCUGUGAACUUAAAAUUACUCUAGAAAAAUGAAGUCUGUUUUUUAUUUUUUAAAAAAGGUCUCAUGGUGGCAAUGUAACUUUUUUUUUUUUUCCUGUCUUUUUAGGGUCACACCCACAGUAUAUGGAGGUUCCCAGGCUAGAGGUUGAAUCAGAACUGUAGCUGCUGGCCUAUGUGACAGCCACAGCAGGGAGGGAUCCUUAACCUACUGAGCAAGGCCAGGGAUCAAACCUGCGUCCACAUGGAUACUACAACGGGAACUCCUAAUUUUAAUAUUUUGAACUUGAAUUUCUUAAUUGAAGGCAUGGAAAUUUGGAAAUAAAUCUCAAUAUAUUCUAUGCCUUCUUUGAUUUUUAAAUGAUUUGACAUAUACACAUUUAUGUUUCUUAAUUAUAUUUAGACAUAGACAUAUAAAUAUGUUUUUUUAAAAAGAUUCAACUACAAGACACAUACUUUAGAUUCAAAGACAUAUAAAUAGGUUGAAAGAAAAGGAUGGAAGGAAGAUAUGGUAUGCAAAAGAGAACUGCAAGUAGCUAUGCUAAUUUUAGACAGAUUUCAAGAUAAAAAAUUGUUACUAGAGACAAAGAAGGACAUUUUCUAAAGAUAUGAUUCAGUUCAUUGAGAAGAUAUACCAAUUAUACAUGUACCUUAUAACAGCCACAAAAUAUAUGACACAAAACUGACAGAAUUAUAGGGAAAUAUACAAUUCAACAAUAAUCAUUGGAGUCCAUAAUGUCCCACUUUCAGCAAUGGAUAGAGCAACUGGAUACUAGCAACUAGAAUACUAGCAAGGAAGUAGAAAUUUUUAGCAAUACUCUAAACUAACUAGAUCUAACAAACAUCUAUAGAAUACUUACCAAACAGCAAAAUAUACAUUCUUCUCAAGUGCAAUGGAACAUUUUUUUGAAAGAGACCAAAUGCUAAACUAUUAAGUCUUAAUAGAUUUAAAAGAUUCAAAUCACACAAAGUUAGUUCUCUGACCACCAUGGAUUGAUUUAGACAUCAAUAACAGGAAGAAAUUUGGGAAACACAAAUAUAUGGAAAUUUACACACAUAAAUAGCAAAUGGGUCAAAGAUAACAAUCACAUUGUAAAAUAGGAAAUACUUUGAGACAAAUGAAAAGAAAAACACAACAAAACCUAAGGAUUACAUCAAAAAGAGUUCUUAGAGGAAGAUUUAUAGUUAUAAAUGCCUAAUUUAAAAGGGUAGAUGAUGUCAGAUCAAUAGUAGAAAAUAAAACUAAAAACUGGUUCUUUGGAAAGAUCAACAAAAUUGA